UUUACUUCCCUUAUCGUCAAACUUUUAACUACUAUUUUUUAUAAAAACACUACUUUUAAAGAAUGCAUUGCAUUAUCGCACUAUAUGAAGUGUUCUUCUAAAAAGAGAUAAAAAAAAAAGCUUAUGCAUAUCACAUUAUAAUUAUAUUUAAAUAACAUUAAAAUAGUUAAAAUUUAUUUUACACUAUAUGAUCCUUUAUUUUGAUCUCACUUUCCUCUUUUACAAGGACAAGCUAAUGCAACACAUGGAAUAUGGAUGUUCUGCUAUUUCCAAGUGAGAGAAAAUCCACGGUCAUGAGGAGCGAGUAUAGCCCCACGACCUCCUCAUUUCCCCCUCAUCACCAAUGAUGCACCAAGUAUAGUCUCUAUAUCCAAGGCAAUGAUCAAGUGAUAAUAUUUGUUUCCACUUGAAUCAAUCCCAUGACAAUGCAAUGAAUAUAAUAUUCAAGGGGAAAAUAAGUAGUCGUAACUCUCGGGGAUCAAGCGCUUUCCAUAUAGCUACAAACAUGUAAUCACUAGCACACUUUUACUUCAAAUAAAUACCCCUAGUAUAGGCAAAUGAAA
Long non-coding RNA from Spinacia oleracea (spinach), 563 nucleotides. RefSeq lists it as uncharacterized. The transcript is spliced from 2 exons. The record is from RefSeq and is a predicted model, not a curated record. Lineage: Eukaryota; Viridiplantae; Streptophyta; Magnoliopsida; Caryophyllales; Amaranthaceae.